AAUAUUAAUUGCUCUCCAGGUUCGUCAUUACCUGUCCUUUCCCCUCCCGGUAUAUAGAAUAUAUACAUACUGUUCCUGUUUAUACGCUGGUUUCCUCCAUUUAUGUGCUGUAAUUUGUAUUUUAUUUGGUCGGUGUUUUCUGUAUAUAUUGUUUUUACUUCUGGGGUUGUGUUUUUAUAGGUUUUCUAGCUGUUUAUUGUAAUUAUUUGGGUUUUAGAUUACUGGGAUUAAUGGGUUAUGCUUAGUUUGGCUUACGGGGAACAAUUGCGUUGGUUUCUUCACAAUCAACCUGGGGUUUUUUCGUUUUUUGAAGUCUGUUAUAUUCUUUCCCUUUGGCGGUUGCUAUAUUCCAGAGCCGUAUAGCUAUCUGCUGGUAUUGGCAGGUGAGUAAAUCCCAUUAGAGAUUGAAUCAGGGAAAGUUGGGUUAGAAUUGUGUUCAAGUUUUCAAGAAGUAGAAGAGGUCUGUGGAAUUUGGUUCAUUCAGCUAGAGUUGUACUUGGGAUAUUUACUU
RNAcentral lists this unclassified non-coding RNA (511 nucleotides) under Hevea brasiliensis (rubber tree). The record is from RNAcentral. Lineage: Eukaryota; Viridiplantae; Streptophyta; Magnoliopsida; Malpighiales; Euphorbiaceae.